GCCUGGGUGGCUCAGUCAGUUGAGCAACCGACUUCGGCUCAGGUCAUGGUCUCAAGGUUUGUGGGUUCAAGCCCCGCGUCAGGCU
RNAcentral lists this transfer RNA (85 nucleotides) under Felis catus (domestic cat). It matches the Rfam family "tRNA". Rfam says of the family: Transfer RNA (tRNA) molecules are approximately 80 nucleotides in length. Their secondary structure includes four short double-helical elements and three loops (D, anti-codon, and T loops). The record is from Rfam by way of RNAcentral. Lineage: Eukaryota; Metazoa; Chordata; Mammalia; Carnivora; Felidae. RNAcentral also lists the same sequence under 4 other names.